AGCCCUGUAGUGAAGAAUCACGUUGGGUUGCAAACCCAAAGACGUAGAAUAAUACCCUGCCGGGGCUU
RNAcentral lists this transfer RNA (68 nucleotides) under Rhynchocypris percnurus (lake minnow). RNAcentral describes it as "tRNA-Cys". It matches the Rfam family "tRNA". Rfam says of the family: Transfer RNA (tRNA) molecules are approximately 80 nucleotides in length. Their secondary structure includes four short double-helical elements and three loops (D, anti-codon, and T loops). Lineage: Eukaryota; Metazoa; Chordata; Actinopteri; Cypriniformes; Leuciscidae. The record is from RNAcentral.